Molecule: ribosomal RNA, 1107 nt
Filed under: Salmonella enterica subsp. enterica serovar Newport
Lineage: Bacteria; Pseudomonadati; Pseudomonadota; Gammaproteobacteria; Enterobacterales; Enterobacteriaceae
Description: partial 23S ribosomal RNA
Rfam family: Bacterial large subunit ribosomal RNA
Source: RNAcentral
AAUCUGCGAUAAGCGCCGGUAAGGUGAUAUGAACCGUUAUAACCGGCGAUUUCCGAAUGGGGAAACCCAGUGUGAUUCGUCACACUAUCAUUAACUGAAUCCAUAGGUUAAUGAGGCGAACCGGGGGAACUGAAACAUCUAAGUACCCCGAGGAAAAGAAAUCAACCGAGAUUCCCCCAGUAGCGGCGAGCGAACGGGGAGGAGCCCAGAGCCUGAAUCAGCAUGUGUGUUAGUGGAAGCGUCUGGAAAGGCGCGCGAUACAGGGUGACAGCCCCGUACACAAAAGCGCAUGUGCUGUGAGCUCGAUGAGUAGGGCGGGACACGUGGUAUCCUGUCUGAAUAUGGGGGGACCAUCCUCCAAGGCUAAAUACUCCUGACUGACCGAUAGUGAACCAGUACCGUGAGGGAAAGGCGAAAAGAACCCCGGCGAGGGGAGUGAAAAAGAACCUGAAACCGUGUACGUACAAGCAGUGGGAGCACAGGUUUACCUGUGUGACUGCGUACCUUUUGUAUAAUGGGUCAGCGACUUAUAUUCUGUAGCAAGGUUAACCGAAUAGGGGAGCCGGAGGGAAACCGAGUCUUAAUUGGGCGUUAAGUUGCAGGGUAUAGACCCGAAACCCGGUGAUCUAGCCAUGGGCAGGUUGAAGGUUGGGUAACACUAACUGGAGGACCGAACCGACUAAUGUUGAAAAAUUAGCGGAUGACCUGUGGCUGGGGGUGAAAGGCCAAUCAAACCGGGAGAUAGCUGGUUCUCCCCGAAAGCUAUUUAGGUAGCGCCUCGUGAAUUCAUCUCCGGGGGUAGAGCACUGUUUCGGCUAGGGGGCCAUCCCGGCUUACCAACCCGAUGCAAACUGCGAAUACCGGAGAAUGUUAUCACGGGAGACACACGGCGGGUGCUAACGUCCGUCGUGAAGAGGGAAACAACCCAGACCGCCAGCUAAGGUCCCAAAGUCAUGGUUAAGUGGGAAACGAUGUGGGAAGGCCCAGACAGCCAGGAUGUUGGCUUAGAAGCAGCCAUCAUUUAAAGAAAGCGUAAUAGCUCACUGGUCGAGUCGGCCUGCGCGGAAGAUGUAACGGGGCUAAACCAUGCACCGAAGCUGCGGCAGC